This 447-nucleotide ribosomal RNA is filed under the name uncultured bacterium. RNAcentral describes it as "partial 16S ribosomal RNA". It matches the Rfam family "Bacterial small subunit ribosomal RNA", at positions 29 to 523 of the family's 1533-position model. The record is from RNAcentral.
AGCGAACGCUGGCGGCAGGCUUAACACAUGCAAGUCGAGCGCCCCGCAAGGGGAGCGGCAGACGGGUGAGUAACACGUGGGAACGUGCCUUUUGGUUCGGAACAACCCAGGGAAACUUGGGCUAAUACCGGAUAAGCCCUUACGGGGAAAGAUUUAUCGCCAAAAGAUCGGCCCGCGUCUGAUUAGCUAGUUGGUGGGGUAAUGGCCCACCAAGGCUACGAUCAGUAGCUGGUCUGAGAGGAUGAUCAGCCACAUUGGGACUGAGACACGGCCCAAACUCCUACGGGAGGCAGCAGUGGGGAAGAUUGGACAAUGGGGGCAACCCUGAUCCAGCCAUGCCGCGUGAGUGAUGAAGGCCUUAGGGUUGUAAAGCUCUCUUAGCAGGGAAGAUAAUGACGGUACCUGCAGAAAAAGCCCCGGCUAACUUCGUGCCAGCCGCCGCCGUAA